UCGAAGCAUUUCUUGCCACACGAAUCCUGA
This 30-nucleotide non-coding RNA is filed under the name Mus musculus (house mouse). Lineage: Eukaryota; Metazoa; Chordata; Mammalia; Rodentia; Muridae. The record is from RNAcentral.